GGAAUAGCCUCCCGAAAGGGAGAUUAAUACCGCAUAACACUGCGGUUUCGCAUGAAACUGCAGUUAAAGGAGCAAUCCGCUAUGAGAUGGACCCGCGGCGCAUUAGCUAGUUGGUGAGGUAAAGGCUCACCAAGGCCACGAUGCGUAGCCGACCUGAGAGGGUGAUCGGCCCCGCAUUGGAACUGAGACACGGUCCAGACUCCUACGGGAGGCAGCAGUGGGGAAUAUUGCACAAUGGGCGAAAGCCUGAUGCAGCAACGCCGCGUGGAGGAUGAAUGCCUUCGGGUUGUAACUCUUGUCUUCUGGGACGAUAAUGACGGUACCAGAGGAGGAAGCCACGGCUACUACGUGCCAGCAGCGCGGUAUACGUAGGUGGCGAGCGUUGUCCGGAUUUACCUGGGCGUAAGGAUGCGUAGCGGGNUAUUAAUGGGAUGUGAAAUACCU
Molecule: ribosomal RNA, 444 nt
Filed under: uncultured prokaryote
Description: bacterial SSU rRNA
Rfam family: Bacterial small subunit ribosomal RNA
Source: RNAcentral